CAAGUGGUACGCAGAGGAAUCACUGAAUUUCGAUCUCACUGGUGUGAGUAGAACGAUGAGUGCGUGACUUGACCAACUGAUAAAUUGAAACUGUGCUUUCGCUCGCUGGCUGGGGCUGAGCCAGAGACGUACGCGCUCAGCGGAGUCAUAUCCAUAGAUAUUAUAUAGAGACUAGAUGCCCUAUUGGCCGUUGCGCACUAAGAAAUACGGCCGCCAUCCUAAAACGGUCGUACUCCUACUUUCGUUGCGCGGCAGCAUUUAAGAUGCCAGAGCACUGUGGAGCAUUUUCCUGUUCUAAUCGGUGGACCAUAGCAAGGGGAUUACUUUUCACAAGUUUGCCACCACACACUACAAGAUGUAAAGGGCCACCUUACCACUGGAAAGAUGUUAUCUGGGGUUAUUGUGCUGCUUUGUUUGUGACUAUUCUGCAUCUCCACUCUUAUCAUGUUUACACGCUUUCCUGUGGCUGGGGCAUUGCUGUGUUUGCUGCAAGAGGAGCAAAGCGUAAAUACAGUGCUCUGUGGGAGAAAAAUAGAUGGCAUCACUAUGAUUGAAGUGCAGAGCUAAAGGUGUCUAUUUAUGCGUUCAUGUGGAUAUGAGGAUUAUAAAUCUCACAUCUUCACUCACAAACUGGCACGUACUAAUGUAAUAAAACAGGCAGGACACACUUGUACUCUCAAACUCAAAUGCAGAGGGCUUUAAUCAAUGACUUGUUGAGAUACAUAGAAAAUUAACUGAAAAAGUGUUUGUUGCAGGCUAACAGUUUAUAUGUAACAGCAACCAUACCCUAACCCUAAGACCAGAAAUUCACCAAGUUUCAUGCUUAUAACACCACAAAAUGCCAUUCCAUCUUUGUAAACACCACACUACAAACUGUUUCACAGAAGACAACCAUUAAUUACUUAACUGAACAGUUUGAAUUGAACCACCCUACAGACAAUCUCAUUUGAUAAUCUUUUCUUAUUGUUGUUUUGUCUUUGGACAACACUCUACUAAUGUAACGUCAAACAAUGUUUUAACACACUUAUAUUAUGUUGUUAUUUCCCAAGUCCCAUGGAAUCCAGACCCGCCCUAUCUUCGUAGCUACAUCGUAAUAAAAAAGUAUUAAAAUAUAUUGGUGCAAUAAUAUUUUAUUAUUGGGUCUUAUCAAACAUCACUGUUAAGAACACAUGAGCAUCACAUGAUCCACCAUAUUGACGAUUUCAUGAUGCAAAAUUGCAGCCACUAUUUUAGCAUUGCUGACCUUUUCAUUUUUUAGUUUAAAGUCAACAUGAAAUCAAAAUGUACCCUAUUUAGUUCCUUAAUACAUGUUUCUGAUCUUAUUGUGAACGAUUCAUAUGUGCCUAUAAUUUUAAAGAAAAAAAUAUGUCUACAUAAUUUUUCCAAGCUCCGCCUCUGAAACAACUUUCCUUUUCAAAUGAUGUCAUUAAGGCCGCAUAAAUUUCAAUCAACAAGCAAGCAGAGUUUCAGAAAGGAAGUAGUCCUUCACACUUUUUCUCCUUGAAUAAGCUAUUUCACUCAAAAUAUGUCACAUGGAAAUAAAAUGGGUUGCGAACACCAUUUCAUGUUGACUUUAUCCUGUCAGUGACUAAAAUAGAUCCUGUGUGUGCAUUAGUAUUUAUUUGCAAGAAAACCAAAAAAAACUAAAUGUGAACAAUACUUUAAAAUGCAGACCACUUAUUAUCUCACAUUACUAUUUUACUCACAUAAGGGUCAUUCACAGUGAACAAGGUGGUGGAAGGGGCCACAAUCUGAGUAGAAGUCAUGUGACAUUGUGAUUGUAGUGCUGGUUAUUUGAUUAG
Xyrauchen texanus (razorback sucker) is the source of this 1802-nucleotide long non-coding RNA. RefSeq lists it as uncharacterized. Lineage: Eukaryota; Metazoa; Chordata; Actinopteri; Cypriniformes; Catostomidae. The transcript has 6 exons. The record is from RefSeq and is a predicted model, not a curated record.